This 443-nucleotide ribosomal RNA is filed under the name uncultured bacterium. RNAcentral describes it as "partial 16S ribosomal RNA". It matches the Rfam family "Bacterial small subunit ribosomal RNA", at positions 338 to 795 of the family's 1533-position model. The record is from RNAcentral.
CCUACGGGGGGCAGCAGUGGGGAAUAUUGGGCAAUGGGCGCAAGCCUGACCCAGCAACGCCGCGUGAAGGAAGAAGGCUUUCGGGUUGUAAACUUCUUUUCUGAGGGACGAAGAAAGUGACGGUACCUCAGGAAUAAGCCACGGGCAAAUACGGGCCAGCAGCCGCGGUCAUACGGAGGGGGCAAGCGUUAUCCGGAUUUAUUGGGUGUAAAGGGCGGGUAGGCGGGAAAGAAAGUCAGAUGUGAAAACUCAGGGGUCAACCCUGAGCCUGCAUUUGAAACUGUUUUCCUUGAGUGCUGGAAAGGCAAUCGGAAUGCCGGGUGUAGCGGUGAAAUGCGUAGAUAUACGGAGGAACACCAGUGGCGAAGGCGGACUGCUGGAGAGUAACUGACGCUGAGGCACGAAAGCGUGGGGAGCGAACAGGAUUAGAUACCCGUGUAGUC